GAUGAACGCUAGCGGCAGGCCUAACACAUGCAAGUCGAGGGGCAGCAUGGCGUAGCGAUACGCUGAUGGCGACCGGCGCACGGGUGCGUAACGCGUAUGCAACCUGUCCGGCGCAGGGGGUAGCCCGUCGAAAGGCGGGGUAAUCCCGCAUGAACCGGUAUUCCCGCAUGGGGGUGCCGGCAAAGUGGAGACGCGGGGCCGGAGGGGCAUGCGUGCCAUUAGCUGGCUGGAGGGGUAACGGCCCACCAGGGCGAUGAUGGCUAGGGGGUCUGAGAGGAUGGUCCCCCACACUGGUACUGAGACACGGCCCAGACUCCUACGGGAGGCAGCAGUUGGGAAUCUUCGGCAAUGGGCGCAAGCCUGACCGAGCAACGCCGCGUGAGUGAUGAAGGUUUUCGGAUUGUAAAGCUCUGUCUUCCGGGACGAUAAUGACGGUACCGGAGGAGGAAGCCACGGCUAACUACGUG
RNAcentral lists this ribosomal RNA (467 nucleotides) under uncultured bacterium. Its description in RNAcentral is "bacterial SSU rRNA". It matches the Rfam family "Bacterial small subunit ribosomal RNA", at positions 28 to 507 of the family's 1533-position model. The record is from RNAcentral.